Pseudonaja textilis is the source of this 112-nucleotide non-coding RNA. NCBI's taxonomy places the organism in Eukaryota, Metazoa, Chordata, Lepidosauria, Squamata, Elapidae. The record is from RefSeq and is a predicted model, not a curated record.
GCAGAUAUGCAUAACAAAAUCUGAGAAAUUUGGUGUGAGAAGGUCUAAUUGGAAUGUGUAAGUAAGCCUCUGUUAAGUCAAUGGAAGUUAAAAAGUCGCCUUUCCUUAUGCU